RNAcentral lists this RNase P RNA (393 nucleotides) under Chryseosolibacter indicum. Its description in RNAcentral is "Chryseosolibacter indicus RNase P RNA component class A". It matches the Rfam family "Bacterial RNase P class A". Rfam says of the family: Ribonuclease P (RNase P) is a ubiquitous endoribonuclease, found in archaea, bacteria and eukarya as well as chloroplasts and mitochondria. Its best characterised activity is the generation of mature 5'-ends of tRNAs by cleaving the 5'-leader elements of precursor-tRNAs. The record is from RNAcentral. Lineage: Bacteria; Pseudomonadati; Bacteroidota; Cytophagia; Cytophagales; Chryseotaleaceae.
GCAGUAAGUUGUCUUAUCGCCCUUUGAGAACUCAGAGGGAGGAAAGUCCGGGCAACACAGAGCGUCGUACUUCCUAACGGGAAGGUCCUGUUUAGUCAGGAACAGAAAGUGCCGCAGAAAACAAACUACCUGCUUUGACUUGUUCGAAGGAGGAAAAGGUGAAAAGGUGAGGUAAGAGCUCACCGCCCUGGUAGUAAUAUCAGGGGCAUGGUAAACCUUACGAGUUGAAAGGUCAAAUAGGCUCCGGUUAAUGGAUUGCUCGUUCAGAUACUGCUUGCAGUAUACCGGAGCGGGUAGACUGAUUGAUCCUCGUUGCGAAACCAGGACCAGAUAAAUGAUAAGAGCUCUUCAUUAGAAGAGAAACAGAACCCGGCUUAUAAACUUACUUUUAUU